Molecule: ribosomal RNA, 506 nt
Filed under: uncultured Glomeromycotina
Lineage: Eukaryota; Fungi; Glomeromycota
Description: partial small subunit ribosomal RNA
Rfam family: Eukaryotic small subunit ribosomal RNA
Source: RNAcentral
CCAAUAGCGUAUAUUAAAGUUGUUGCAGUUAAAAAGCUCGUAGUUGAAUUUCGGGAUUGACACAUCGGUCGUGCCCUAAGGGGUAUGAACUGGUGUAGUCAAUUUCUCACCUUCUGGAGAACCGCGAUGCCCUUAAUUGGGUGUCACGGGGAACCAGGACCUUUACUUUGAAAAAAUUAGAGUGUUUAAAGCAGGCAUUUUGCUUGAAUACAUUAGCAUGGAAUAAUAAAAUAGGACGGCAUGAUUCUAUUUUGUUGGUUUCUAGGAUCACCGUAAGGAUGAAUAGGGAUAGUUGGGGGCAUUAGUAUUCAAUUGUCAGAGGUGAAAUUCUUGGAUUUAUUGAAGACUAACUACUGCGAAAGCAUUUGCCAAGGAUGUUUUCAUUAAUCAAGAACGAAAGUUAGGGGAUCGAAGACGAUCAGAUACCGUCGUAGUCUUAACCAUAAACUAUGCCGACUAGGAAUCAGACGAUGUUAAUUUUUUAAUGACUCGUUUGGCACCUUACG